This is a non-coding RNA of Candidatus Magnetoglobus multicellularis str. Araruama, 264 nucleotides long. Lineage: Bacteria; Pseudomonadati; Thermodesulfobacteriota; Desulfobacteria; Desulfobacterales; Desulfobacteraceae. The record is from Rfam.
AAAGUCCUUGUCAGGUAAGGAUUAGCCAUCCACCUGUACCGAGUCUUGCGUGAUUGGGAAGGAUAGAUAUACCAUCGAACGACCCACACGAAGCGUACACAGGGAAUCAUAUAGGCCACAGGGAGAAUGUGCUCUCCUGAAGCAUGGUACAGCGUCGUAAAAGGUGAUUAGUAGCAAUCGGUUAUGUUGUCAAUGAAACAGAAGCCAACACUAAAGAAUCAUUAAUGGCAAGAUUCUGGAUGGAUUGUCGGCGUCAUCAGGGCG